AUGGGUAGACGAAGAAAAUGAAGAAUGCAUUGUGAUUUUGACUUUGUUCCGACAUGUUCUGCAAUUUCAUUCCAAUUCUCAUUGUAAACCUCCAUUGCCUCAAGCAGCAAUAGUGUUUCUUGAUCACUCCAACUUUCUCCAUCUAAAUCACUAUAAUCCUUUGUUGCAUCCAUCUUUAUAAAAUCCAAGCUUGAAUGAUUGGUCACAAACCUCCCCUCAUGGAAGCAGUCAGAGCAUAGAAGUACAUCGAUCUCCUUCUGUGACUGAAAGUAUAUGCCAGGAAGAUGCUGAGAACAAUAAGUGCAACAAUUUUCUGAAAUACGUUCUCGAAUUCUGUUGUCCAAGUCAGAGAAAUCAUCAUCAUGACAUGACAAUGAUGAAUAGACGUCAGCUGCCUUGAGCCUACAUUUAGGCUUGUCAAAUUUGAUCAAACUAUCAAU
Molecule: unclassified non-coding RNA, 440 nt
Filed under: Hevea brasiliensis (rubber tree)
Lineage: Eukaryota; Viridiplantae; Streptophyta; Magnoliopsida; Malpighiales; Euphorbiaceae
Source: RNAcentral